Molecule: ribosomal RNA, 261 nt
Filed under: uncultured archaeon
Lineage: Archaea
Description: partial 16S ribosomal RNA
Rfam family: Archaeal small subunit ribosomal RNA
Source: RNAcentral
CAGCCGUAAACUAUGCUCGCUAGGUGUCAGGCAUGGCGCGACCGUGUCUGGUGCCGCAGGGAAGCCGUGAAGCGAGCCACCUGGGAAAGUACGGCCGCAAGGCUGAAACUUAAGGAUUGGCCGGGGGAGCACAACAACGGGUGGAGCCUGCGGUUUAAUUGGACUCAACGCCGGACAACUCACCGGGGACGACAGCAAUAUGUAGGCCAGGCUGAAGACCUUGCCUGACUCGCUGAGAGGAGGUGCAUGGCGUAGACGUCU